ACAAGCGGCGGAGCAUGCGGUAUUAAUUCGAUGCAACGCGAGAACCUUACCAAGGCUUGACAUACACCGGUAACGCCCAGAGAUGGUGCCCCUUUGUGGUCGGUGUACAGGUGGUGCAUGGUUGUCGUCAGCUCGUGUCGUGAGAUGUUGGGUUAAGUCCCGCAACGAGCGCAACCCUCGUCCUAUGUUGCCAGCGGGUCAUGCCGGGGACUCAUGGGAGACUGCCGGGGUCAACUCGGAGGAAGUGGGGAUGACGUCAAAUCAUCAUGCCCCUUAUGUCUUGGGCUUCACGCAUGCUACAAUGGCCGGUACAAAGGGCUGCGAUACCGCGAGGUGGAGCGAAUCCCAGAAAGCCGGUCUCAGUUCGGAUUGGGGUCUGCAACUCGACCCCAUGAAGUCGGAGUCGCUAGUAAUCGCAGAUCAGCAACGCUGCGGUGAAUACGUUCCCGGGCCUU
Molecule: ribosomal RNA, 455 nt
Filed under: uncultured Cellulomonas sp.
Lineage: Bacteria; Bacillati; Actinomycetota; Actinomycetes; Micrococcales; Cellulomonadaceae
Description: bacterial SSU rRNA
Rfam family: Bacterial small subunit ribosomal RNA
Source: RNAcentral